AUCCAGCUGAAUAGUCCCAAAUAGGACGAAAAGCGCGUCCUGGAU
Non-coding RNA from Schistosoma rodhaini, 45 nucleotides. The record is from Rfam. Lineage: Eukaryota; Metazoa; Platyhelminthes; Trematoda; Strigeidida; Schistosomatidae.